Molecule: RNA transcript, 3452 nt
Organism: Oryctolagus cuniculus (rabbit)
Lineage: Eukaryota; Metazoa; Chordata; Mammalia; Lagomorpha; Leporidae
Gene: PGR
Gene name: progesterone receptor
Source: RefSeq, marked provisional
UCCACGCUGUCACUACUCGGGUUAAGCUUUGUAGCACUUGCGUGUGUGAGGAUUCUGGUGUGUGGGGAGCCUUCUCAAUGAGAACGAGCUUCACCUGUCAUCUGAGACUUGGCACCAGAGGCGGCUCUUCCUCCCGGAACGCGGGGAACCGAGAGAGCAGCGGAGACCAGUGUGGCCCGCUGUAGGGGGCCGGCAGAAGCCCAUUCCUGGGAAUGGGCUGUACCGAGAGGGUCAGCUAGCCGCAGAGUGCUAGAGAGAGGGGCAGCGGAACGCAGUCAGGGGCUCGGAGCUUCGCAGCGUGCACGGGUUUGAAGCCUGGGGAGAAGUCGGGCGCGUUAACUGAACUGCAAGCGCUGCCGCAGCCACUCCGGGGCGGGACUUGUGAGUACUCCGCGUCGCCCGCGCUCGGACAGAAGCCAGAGGACUUCCAAAUCGGAGACGAGAGCCCUGCAACUACCUUUCCCUGCUCUUCCCACUUGCCGCAGGGACUGAGCGACCGCAGCCCUGCCCCUGACCACAGGAUGCAGGGCGAGGGCCAGAGCUGACCGGCACCGCCCCCUCCCGACCCAGGAGGUGGAGAUCCCGCGGGUCCAGCCAAACCCCACACCCAUUUUCUCCUCCCUCUGCCCCUAUAUCCCGGCACCCCCUCCUCCUAGCCCUUUCCCUCCUCCCGAGAGACGGGGGAGGAGAAAAGGGGAGUUCAGGUCGACAUGACUGAGCUGAAGGCAAAGGAACCUCGGGCUCCCCACGUGGCGGGCGGCGCGCCCUCCCCCACCGAGGUCGGAUCCCAGCUCCUGGGUCGCCCGGACCCUGGCCCCUUCCAGGGGAGCCAGACCUCAGAGGCCUCGUCUGUAGUCUCCGCCAUCCCCAUCUCCCUGGACGGGUUGCUCUUCCCCCGGCCCUGUCAGGGGCAGAACCCCCCAGACGGGAAGACGCAGGACCCACCGUCGUUGUCAGACGUGGAGGGCGCAUUUCCUGGAGUCGAAGCCCCGGAGGGGGCAGGAGACAGCAGCUCGAGACCUCCAGAAAAGGACAGCGGCCUGCUGGACAGUGUCCUCGACACGCUCCUGGCGCCCUCGGGUCCCGGGCAGAGCCACGCCAGCCCUGCCACCUGCGAGGCCAUCAGCCCGUGGUGCCUGUUUGGCCCCGACCUUCCCGAAGACCCCCGGGCUGCCCCCGCUACCAAAGGGGUGUUGGCCCCGCUCAUGAGCCGACCCGAGGACAAGGCAGGCGACAGCUCUGGGACGGCAGCGGCCCACAAGGUGCUGCCCAGGGGACUGUCACCAUCCAGGCAGCUGCUGCUCCCCUCCUCUGGGAGCCCUCACUGGCCGGCAGUGAAGCCAUCCCCGCAGCCCGCUGCGGUGCAGGUAGACGAGGAGGACAGCUCCGAAUCCGAGGGCACCGUGGGCCCGCUCCUGAAGGGCCAACCUCGGGCACUGGGAGGCACGGCGGCCGGAGGAGGAGCUGCCCCCGUCGCGUCUGGAGCGGCCGCAGGAGGCGUCGCCCUUGUCCCCAAGGAAGAUUCUCGCUUCUCGGCGCCCAGGGUCUCCUUGGCGGAGCAGGACGCGCCGGUGGCGCCUGGGCGCUCCCCGCUGGCCACCUCGGUGGUGGAUUUCAUCCACGUGCCCAUCCUGCCUCUCAACCACGCUUUCCUGGCCACCCGCACCAGGCAGCUGCUGGAGGGGGAGAGCUACGACGGCGGGGCCGCGGCCGCCAGCCCCUUCGUCCCGCAGCGGGGCUCCCCCUCUGCCUCGUCCACCCCUGUGGCGGGCGGCGACUUCCCCGACUGCACCUACCCGCCCGACGCCGAGCCCAAAGAUGACGCGUUCCCCCUCUACGGCGACUUCCAGCCGCCCGCCCUCAAGAUAAAGGAGGAGGAAGAAGCCGCCGAGGCCGCGGCGCGCUCCCCGCGUACGUACCUGGUGGCUGGUGCAAACCCCGCCGCCUUCCCGGACUUCCAGCUGGCAGCGCCGCCGCCACCCUCGCUGCCGCCUCGAGUGCCCUCGUCCAGACCCGGGGAAGCGGCGGUGGCGGCCUCCCCAGGCAGUGCCUCCGUCUCCUCCUCGUCCUCGUCGGGGUCGACCCUGGAGUGCAUCCUGUACAAGGCAGAAGGCGCGCCGCCCCAGCAGGGCCCCUUCGCGCCGCUGCCCUGCAAGCCUCCGGGCGCCGGCGCCUGCCUGCUCCCGCGGGACGGCCUGCCCUCCACCUCCGCCUCGGGCGCAGCCGCCGGGGCCGCCCCUGCGCUCUACCCGACGCUCGGCCUCAACGGACUCCCGCAACUCGGCUACCAGGCCGCCGUGCUCAAGGAGGGCCUGCCGCAGGUCUACACGCCCUAUCUCAACUACCUGAGGCCGGAUUCAGAAGCCAGUCAGAGCCCACAGUACAGCUUCGAGUCACUACCUCAGAAGAUUUGUUUGAUCUGUGGGGAUGAAGCAUCAGGCUGUCAUUAUGGUGUCCUCACCUGUGGGAGCUGUAAGGUCUUCUUUAAAAGGGCAAUGGAAGGGCAGCAUAACUAUUUAUGUGCUGGAAGAAAUGACUGCAUUGUUGAUAAAAUCCGCAGGAAAAACUGCCCGGCGUGUCGCCUUAGAAAGUGCUGUCAAGCUGGCAUGGUCCUUGGAGGGCGAAAGUUUAAAAAGUUCAAUAAAGUCAGAGUCAUGAGAGCACUCGAUGCUGUUGCUCUCCCACAGCCAGUGGGCAUUCCAAAUGAAAGCCAACGAAUCACUUUUUCUCCAAGUCAAGAGAUACAGUUAAUUCCCCCUCUAAUCAACCUGUUAAUGAGCAUUGAACCAGAUGUGAUCUAUGCAGGACAUGACAACACAAAGCCUGAUACCUCCAGUUCUUUGCUGACGAGUCUUAAUCAACUAGGCGAGCGGCAACUUCUUUCAGUGGUAAAAUGGUCCAAAUCUCUUCCAGGUUUUCGAAACUUACAUAUUGAUGACCAGAUAACUCUCAUCCAGUAUUCUUGGAUGAGUUUAAUGGUAUUUGGACUAGGAUGGAGAUCCUACAAACAUGUCAGUGGGCAGAUGCUGUAUUUUGCACCUGAUCUAAUAUUAAAUGAACAGCGGAUGAAAGAAUCAUCAUUCUAUUCACUAUGCCUUACCAUGUGGCAGAUACCGCAGGAGUUUGUCAAGCUUCAAGUUAGCCAAGAAGAGUUCCUCUGCAUGAAAGUAUUACUACUUCUUAAUACAACUUGGAGUCCUCCAUUGCAUCUGAGUAGACAUGAGCACUGAGUGAGAAGAGGUUUGGAGGUGAGGCCUGAACCUAUCAUGCAUCACGUCCACCUUCCACAGCCCACCUUAACUGCAGAAGAUGCUGUUCCUUUGGAAGGACUAAGAAGUCAAAGCCAGUUUGAAGAGAUGAGAUCAAGCUACAUUAGAGAGCUCAUCAAGGCAAUUGGUUUGAGGCAAAAAGGAGUUGUUUCCAGCUCACAGCGUUUCUAUCAGCUCACAAAA